GCAUAUCAAUAAGCGGAGGAAAAGAAACUAACAAGGAUUCCCCUAGUAACUGCGAGUGAAGCGGGAAAAGCUCAAAUUUAAAAUCUGGCAGUCUUUGGCUGUCCGAGUUGUAGUCUGGAGAAGUGCUUUCCGCGCUGGACCGUGUACAAGUCUCUUGGAAUAGAGCGUCAUAGAGGGUGAGAAUCCCGUCUUUGACACGGACUACCAGUGCUUUGUGAUGCGCUCUCAAAGAGUCGAGUUGUUUGGGAAUGCAGCUCAAAAUGGGUGGUAAAUUCCAUCUAAAGCUAAAUAUUGGCGAGAGACCGAUAGCGAACAAGUACCGUGAGGGAAAGAUGAAAAGCACUUUGGAAAGAGAGUUAAACAGUACGUGAAAUUGCUGAAAGGGAAACGCUUGAAGUCAGUCACGUUGGUCAGAACUCAGCCUGGCUUUUUUUGCUUGGUGCAUUUUCUGAUUAACGGGCCAGCAUCAAUUUUGACCAUUGGAAAAAUUCUUUGGGAAUGUGGCUCCUCCGGGAGUGUUAUAGCCCAGGGUUGUAUACAGUGGUUGGGAUUGAGGAACUCAGCACGCCUUCAUGGUCGGGGUUCGCCCACGCUCGUGCUUAGGAUGCUGGCGUAAUGGCUUUAAACGACCCGUCUUGAAACACGGACCAAGGAGUCUAACAUGCCUGCGAGUGUUUGGGUGGAAAACCCGAGCGCGCAAUGAAAGUGAAAGUUGGGAUCUCUGUCGUGGAGAGCACCGACGCCCAUACCAGACCUUCUGUGACGGAUAUGCGGUUGAGCAUGUAUGUUGGGACCCGAAAGAUGGUGAACUAUGCCUGAAUAGGGUGAAGCCAGAGGAAACUCUGGUGGAGGCUCGUAGCGAUUCUGACGUGCAAAUCGAUCGUCAAAUUUGGGYAUAGGGGCGAMAGACUAAUCGAACCAUCUAGUAGCUGGUUCCUGCGA
This 942-nucleotide ribosomal RNA is filed under the name Podoscypha multizonata. RNAcentral describes it as "LSU rRNA". It matches the Rfam family "Eukaryotic large subunit ribosomal RNA", at positions 38 to 963 of the family's 3401-position model. The record is from RNAcentral. Lineage: Eukaryota; Fungi; Basidiomycota; Agaricomycetes; Polyporales; Podoscyphaceae.